GAUGAACGCGGGCGGCGUGCCUAAUAUAUGCAAGUCGAGCGAACGGACGAGAAGCUUUCUUCUCUGAUGUUAGCGGCGGACGGGUGAGUAACACGUGGAUAACCUACCUAUAAGACUGGGAUAACUUCGAGAAACCGGAGCUAAUACCGGAUAAUAUUUUGAACCGCAUGGUUCAAAAGUGAAAGACGGUCUUGCUGUCACUUAUAGAUGGAUCCGCGCUGCAUUAGCUAGUUGGUAAGGUAACGGCUUACCAAGGCAACGAUGCAUAGCCGACCUGAGAGGGUGAUCGGCCACACUGGACCUGAGACACGGUCCAGACCCCUACGGGAGGCAGCAGUAGGGAAUCUUCCGCAAAGGGCCAACGCCUGACGGCGCAACGCCGAGUGAGUGAUGCAGGUCUUCGGAUCGUAAAACUCUGUUAUUAGGGAAGACCUUAUGUGUAAGUAACUGUGCACAUAUUGACGGUACCUAAUCAGAAAGCCACGGCUAACCCCGUG
This 497-nucleotide ribosomal RNA is filed under the name uncultured bacterium. RNAcentral's name for it is "partial 16S ribosomal RNA". It matches the Rfam family "Bacterial small subunit ribosomal RNA", at positions 28 to 507 of the family's 1533-position model. The record is from RNAcentral.